RNAcentral lists this unclassified non-coding RNA (391 nucleotides) under soil metagenome. RNAcentral's name for it is "partial contains 5.8S ribosomal RNA, internal transcribed spacer 2, and large subunit ribosomal RNA". The stretch from base 1 to 122 matches the Rfam family "5.8S ribosomal RNA", at positions 35 to 154 of the family's 154-position model. The record is from RNAcentral.
GAUGAAGAACGUAGUGAAAUGCGAUACUUGGUGUGAAUUGCAGAAUCCCGUGAACCAUCGAGUCUUUGAACGCAAGUUGCGCCCGAAGCCACUAGGCCGAGGGCACGCCUGCCUGGGCGUCACACGCCGUUGCCCCCCCAUCUACUCCUUCGGGAUUGCGGGGGGGCGGAUGAUGGCCUCCCGUGCGCCUAGCCGCGCGGUUGGCAUAAAUACCAAGUCCUCGGCGACGCACGCCACGACAAUCGGUGGUUGCGAAACCUCGGUUGCCCGUCGUGUGCGUUCGUCGUGCAUCGAGGGCUCGAAAAAAUGCUCGGCUCCGGCUGGGCUUUCAACGCGACCCCAGGUCAGGCGGGGUUACCCGCUGAAUUUAAGCAUAUCAAUAAGCGGAGGA